AAGGAUCACUGCAUAAUACGUCUACAAUACAUUUUGAGGUGAAUACACUGCCUCGCGACAGAAAGGCUCAGCAAUUUUGGAAUCGGGGAAACAUUUUUAAACUACUUCAGUCAAGUGUUCUACAAAUUGAAUACUGACGUAUUCAGCAAAGUAACAGGCCAUUCUAAACUCUGCAUUUUUAACUUGCUCUUCAAAUGUUUGUGCUUUUUUAAUUUCACAAUCUUGUUUAUUAAACAUAUCAUCAAUUUUCUGUG
Long non-coding RNA from Gopherus flavomarginatus (Mexican gopher tortoise), 254 nucleotides. RefSeq lists it as uncharacterized. The transcript is spliced from 2 exons. The record is from RefSeq and is a predicted model, not a curated record. Lineage: Eukaryota; Metazoa; Chordata; Testudines; Testudinidae.